ACAGAUCGUUCAGAGUUUGAUCCUGGCUCAGAAUGAACGCUGGCGGCGUGCUUAACACAUGCAAGUCGUGCGCGAAGGUGGCUUCGGCUACCAGAGAGCGGCGAACGGGUGAGUAACACGUGGGUAAUCUACCUGGGAGUGGGGAAUAACUUGGGGGAAACUCGGGCUAAUUCCGCAUACGUUGGCAGGAUCUUGGUUCUGUCUAGAAAGCUGGCCUCUACUUGUAAGCUAGCGCUCCCAGAGGAGCCCGCGGCUGAUUAGCUUGUUGGUGAGGUAAUGGCUCACCAAGGCUGCGAUCAGUAGCCGGCCUGAGAGGGUGAUCGGCCACAUUGGGACUGAGACACGGCCCAG
RNAcentral lists this ribosomal RNA (351 nucleotides) under uncultured bacterium. RNAcentral describes it as "bacterial SSU rRNA". It matches the Rfam family "Bacterial small subunit ribosomal RNA", at positions 1 to 334 of the family's 1533-position model. The record is from RNAcentral.